Molecule: long non-coding RNA, 338 nt
Filed under: Capsicum annuum
Lineage: Eukaryota; Viridiplantae; Streptophyta; Magnoliopsida; Solanales; Solanaceae
Description: long non-coding RNA (CANN_LNC005357)
Source: RNAcentral
GAUGGAUAUGAGACGGGUAAUGGAUCAUCCUAAAGAUCCAUCUGUCCAAGACUUAGUAUACAUACAUACUGAGGCUAGAAUAAUAUUAUGCAUACAUAACAACAUAAACAUAUCUCUCUCUACUUUGAUGCUCUUGCUGUCUCUAUUUUUGCCUUGCUAGGAUUCAUGUUUUUCUAAGCUGUUUUGAGGAUUAAAGUUAGGUGAGUGGUUGUAUAUUUUUUUAUCAUUUUGAGAUGGAAGAGAUGGCUUAUAGAACCUCCACACGUCUGGGGAAGUUUGGGCAGUUCUAGAAGCAAGAAACUCCUAUGUCGCCACUUUUGGCAUAAAUUGUAUUCUUG